RNAcentral lists this non-coding RNA (49 nucleotides) under Schistosoma haematobium. Lineage: Eukaryota; Metazoa; Platyhelminthes; Trematoda; Strigeidida; Schistosomatidae. The record is from RNAcentral.
AUUCAGCUGACGAGUUCCGAAAUAGGACGAAACGCUUGUCAGACUGGAU